This 497-nucleotide ribosomal RNA is filed under the name uncultured bacterium. RNAcentral's name for it is "partial 16S ribosomal RNA". It matches the Rfam family "Bacterial small subunit ribosomal RNA", at positions 28 to 507 of the family's 1533-position model. The record is from RNAcentral.
GAUGAACGCUGGCGGCGUGCCUAACACAUGCAAGUCGAGCGGACGGACGAGGCUCUUGCUUGUCUGCUGUUAGGGGCGGGCGGGUGAGUCACACGAGUAUAACCUCCCUAUCAGACUGGGAUCACUUCGGGAAAGCGGAUAUAACACCGGAUCAUAUUUUGAACCGCAUGGGUCAUAGGUAAAAGACGGUCUUGCUGGCACUUAUAGCUGGAUCCGGGCUGCUUUGGGUAGUUGUGAGGGUAACGGCCUACCAAGGCUACGAUGCGUAGCCGACCUGAGAGGCUGAUCGGCCACACUGGAACUGAGACACGGUCCAGACUCCUACGGGAGGCAGCAGUAGGGAAUGUUCGGCAAUGGGCGAAAGCCUGACGGAGCAAGGCCGCGUGUGUGAUGAAGGUCUUCGGAUCGUAAAGCUCGGUUAUUAGGGAAGAACAGAUGUGUAAGGAGAUGUGGACAUCUUGACGGUACCGAAUCAAAAAGCACCGGCUAACUACGUG